This 464-nucleotide ribosomal RNA is filed under the name uncultured soil bacterium. RNAcentral's name for it is "bacterial SSU rRNA". It matches the Rfam family "Bacterial small subunit ribosomal RNA", at positions 26 to 518 of the family's 1533-position model. The record is from RNAcentral.
AGCCUGAACGCUGGCGGCGUGGCUAAGACAUGCAAGUCGUACGGACCCGCAAGGGUCAGUGGCGAACGGGUGAGUAAUGAAUCGCUAAUGUGCCCCGGACUCAGGGAUAGCCGUUCGGAAGGACGGGUAAUACCUGAUGAUAUAACCUUGUCGCAUGGCAGGGUUCUCAAAGGUCCGCCGGUCUGGGAGCAGGCGAUUUCGAUCAGCUAGUUGGUAGGGUAACGGCCUACCAAGGCGACGACGCGUAGCCGGACUGAGAGGUUGGCCGGCCACAUUGGGACUGAGACACUGCCCAGACCCCUACGGGGGGCUGGCAGUAACGAAUCUUCCGCAAUGCACGAAAGUGUGACGGAGCGACGCCGCGUGUGGGACGAAGUCCUUCGGAUCGUAAACCACUGUCAGGGGUUACCAAGUUCUGAGGAGCCCCAGAGGAAGGCACGGACUAACUCUGCCGCAGCAGCCGC